RNAcentral lists this ribosomal RNA (468 nucleotides) under uncultured bacterium. RNAcentral describes it as "partial 16S ribosomal RNA". It matches the Rfam family "Bacterial small subunit ribosomal RNA", at positions 28 to 507 of the family's 1533-position model. The record is from RNAcentral.
GACGAACGCUGGCGGCGUGCUUAACACAUGCAAGUCGAACGGAAAGGCCCUGCUUUUGUGGGGUGCUCGAGUGGCGAACGGGUGAGUAACACGUGAGUAACCUGCCCUUGACUUUGGGAUAACUUCAGGAAACUGGGGCUAAUACCGGAUAGGAGCUCCUGCUGCAUGGUGGGGGUUGGAAAGUUUCGGCGGUUGGGGAUGGACUCGCGGCUUAUCAGCUUGUUGGUGGGGUAGUGGCUUACCAAGGCUUUGACGGGUAGCCGGCCUGAGAGGGUGACCGGCCACAUUGGGACUGAGAUACGCCCCGGCCCCCUCGGGGGGGCAGCAGGGGGGAUUAUUGAACAAUGGGGGGAGGCCUGAUGCAGCAACGCCGGGUGCGGGAUGACGGCCUUCGGUUUGAAACCCCCUUUCGCCGGUGAAAAAGCGUGAGUGACGGUAGGGUAUAAAGAAGCACCGGCUAACUCCGUG